This 1437-nucleotide unclassified non-coding RNA is filed under the name Leishmania donovani. Its description in RNAcentral is "gene:LdHU3.11.0040(CDS-product:Bacterial_transfer ase_hexapeptide_(six_repeats)_putative)". The record is from RNAcentral. Lineage: Eukaryota; Euglenozoa; Kinetoplastea; Trypanosomatida; Trypanosomatidae.
CAGGGGUUUGGGGGUGUCCGCAUAUAAGUGGUUUGCUGCCAGUCUCUCAAGGAAGAAAAAAGAACACGUUUCUGGCUACUGGCACAGCAGGAUUGUAGUGCACGAGGAGCGGCCCAAUCGUAAGUCAGUGUAGCACUGUUAGUAGGGUCGGUUGCGGAUACCUGUAAAGUCCAUGUUCCGCUCUCGUUUUCUUGGCUGCGCUCUCAGCGGUGCAGCGAAGGUACCGGAGCAGCUGCCGGAUUGGGCAAUCGAAAAGCGCACGUACCUGAGCUUGGCACUUGACCGAUGGGCGCUGAAAGUGCAGCGCUUGGCGACAAAGUUGAUCGCUGUCAGCGAUCGUAUGAUGGGCGUGCAGCCGAAGGAGGAGCUUUAUCGCAUUCCGCGUCUCUUGAAGGUGAGCGGGAAGCGGCCGACGGUCAUGGAUAACUGUUUCAUUGCGCCAAGUGCUAUAGUUACCGGCGAUGUUCAUGUGGGACGAAAGAAUUAUAUCGGCUACAACGCCAUUAUCCGGGCUGAAAAGGGGGAGAGCAUUCACCUCGGCGAAAGCUGCAACGUGCAGGAGAAGGCAAUAGUCACCGGAAACACAACGGUGGGCAAGUGGACUACGAUUGAGCCCAUGGCCAUCGUUGAGUCUGCUGAUAUUGCGUCGUGCUCGUUUGUGGGAGCCAGCGCGAUCGUCAUGAAAGGUAGUAGUAUCGAGUCCGGUGCCAUGUUGUGCGCCGCGAGCGUCUUGCAGUCUGGCGCGAUUAUCCCUUCCGGUGAGAUGUGGGCCGGCAACCCGGCCCAGAAAGUGGCCGACCUCACGGAGAAGGAAAAGGAUGCCAUUAUCAAGGCGGCCAAGCACUCUGUCCUGCUCGCUAUCGAGCACCACGACUCGUGGGAGCUUACCUGGGAGGAAAUCGAGGACCAACGCGACGCUCGAGAGCUGUUUGCGCGGUACGCCGAAGGCAACCGGGAGCUGCGUAUUAAGGCCAUGUACAUCAAGGAGCCGCCGCGACCGAACCGAAAGAAGAUGGGUCGCCGCACACCACACGAGCUGGUCGACGGCAGCGAGAACGCUCCCGCGCUGGCUGAGAGUAUUCACCAGGGCUACUAAAGUUCAGUGCUGUAGACUGCAAUGUCGAAAGACAAAAUGAUGACUCGAGCCCACUAUCGUGAGGGUAUGCCGCCGACUCUGCUCUCUCAAGAUGUACUAUUUUUGCUUUUCUACGCUCGCGCCACAACAGAAAGAGGCGAAUGCCUGUCGUGAUGAUAGUGUCGUUCUUGAAUGUGUGUGUGUGUGUGUAUUGUUGUUCUCUGCCGCAUUACAGCUUAUGCAGCUGUGGUUUCUGCAAUUGUUCUCGGAGAAGUAUUUUUUUUUUCUCUGUAGGAUGGACUAUUUUUUUUUCUGCUCCGAUUUGGGAGCUGAGAAGGGUAUCGUAGAAAGACACCAUCCAC